RNAcentral lists this long non-coding RNA (1415 nucleotides) under Marmota monax (woodchuck). Lineage: Eukaryota; Metazoa; Chordata; Mammalia; Rodentia; Sciuridae. The record is from RNAcentral.
AGUAUUUUUGCUUUUCAGUGUAUCUUUCAGGCAAAAAGUAGUAGGACCUUAACUUUUUAUCUGGGGAUAUAAUUUAGGUGUAGAGCACUUGCUUAGCGAGUUACGAAUCUCUGAAUUUGAGCCCCAGAACCCUCCAAAAUUAUAUAUAUAUAUAGGCUGCUUGAAGCUCCUCAAUGAUCCCACUUACAAAAGGAUUACAUAGAAAAAUACACCUGUUUUUAAAAUAUACUUGAUUUAGAAAAACUAUUGCAGAAAGUAAUAAAAAUUUCACAGGUUAGUGAUAAAUGGUCUAAUAUACUGUUCAAGUGAACAUAUAGUGAACUAGAGCAAUUAAAGAGUGUUUCUCAAACUAAUGUCAAUAGAAGUCACCUGGAGUUUUGUUCAAAAUGCGGAUUUUGAUUUAGUAGUAGGGGCUGGAGCCUGAGAUUAUGCAUCUUAAACAAACUCCCAGGUGAUGCGGAUUCCUUCCCCACCCCCUUACACCGAUUUGAACCAUUCUGUAAGUGCCCCAGUCAUGGCCUACUGGAUACCUCUGUCCCUUUCCUCUGUUCCUUCUUGAGUAAUCUUUAUUGUUCUCUCUAGCUAGCCAAUUCACGAGGUUAGGCAUGAGGGUGGAGGGAGAAACUUAGGUUCUAAGUUCCUGCUGGUUGCUUCCGUAUGUGUGAUAUAGGUCUGGUUACUAAUCUUCUAUUUCUUCACUGCUAAACUAGAUGUAAUAAUAACUAUCCUUUCACGUGGAAUUAUUGUGUGGUUCAGAUGUCAUAAAGUUGUGAAAGGACCCUGAAGACUUCACAGUGUUGUAUACAUGUUAAGUUAUUAAAGUAAACAUUCAGGCAUUAACUGGCCAUUUUGUGAAAUAAAUGUAUAAUAGUAAUAAUAGGUAUGGGUAAAAUUUAUGCAACUUUUACCAGGUAUUGUGUUUAUUAGCUCCCCUUUACAAAUGAAGAAACUGAAGCACAGAUUAGGUUUCUAUCCUAAGUGAUAGAAGGAGAAUUUGAUUUCAUAUGCUUAAUUUAAGAAUAUUUAUUUCAUAGAGUAACAUGUUUUAUAUUUCUACUUUAAAUGUCAUCUGAAUCUAACUUAUUUCUCCUAUUUCAUUUUUUUAGAAGCCAGGGUACAAGAAUAGUAGGAAACAUUCCCAUUUACCUAAGGGGAAGUCAUAAUAUCCAGGGAGGUCCAAAAAGAAAAGCCCCAGAGAAACCAAUUUGAGUUACCUUAAUCUAAACAAGCUUCAGUGUAAAGGUAUGAUGGAACAUUACUGCUGUGGAUUAACAGAGCACAAUAGACUGGAAAAAUUUGGGGUCAGAGUUCUUAACUUUUUUGUGCCUCAAACCACUUUGACAAUCUGAUAAAACCACCCACCAUUUUCAGAAUAAUGUUUUAUACAUGUAUAAAAUGAAAUUCAUUGUAUUCUA